AAUUAUUGGGCGUAAAGAGCUUGUAGGUGGCUUGUCGCGUCUGCCGUGAAAACCCGAGGCUCAACCUCGGGCGUGCGGUGGGUACGGGCAGGCUAGAGUGUGGUAGGGGAGACUGGAACUCCUGGUGUAGCGGUGAAAUGCGCAGAUAUCAGGAAGAACACCGAUGGCGAAGGCAGGUCUCUGGGCCAUUACUGACACUGAGAAGCGAAAGCAUGGGUAGCGAACAGGAUUAGAUACCCUGGUAGUCCAUGCCGUAAACGUUGGGCACUAGGUGUGGGGGACAUUCCACGUUUUCCGCGCCGUAGCUAACGCAUUAAGUGCCCCGCCUGGGGAGUACGGCCGCAAGGCUAAAACUCAAAGGAAUUGACGGGGGCCCGCACAAGCGGCGGAGCAUGCUGAUUAAUUCGAUGCAACGCGAAGAACCUUACCAAGGCUUGACAUGCACUGGACGGCUGCAGAGAUGUGGCUUUCUUUGGACUGGUGCACAGGUGGUGCAUGGUUGUCGUCAGCUCGUGUCGUGAGAUGUUGGGGUUAAGUCCCGCAACGAGCGCAACCCUCGUUCUAUGUUGCCAGCACGUAAUGGUGGGGACUCAUAGGAGACUGCCGGGGUCAACUCGGAGGAAGGUGGGGACGACGUCAAAUCAUCAUGCCCCUUAUGUCUUGGGCUUCAAGCAUGCUACAAUGGUCGGUACAAUGGGUUGCGAAACUGUGAGGUGGAGCGAAUCCCAAAAAGCCGGCCUCAGUUCGGAUUGGGGUCUGCAACUCGACCCCAUGAAGUCGGAGUCGCUAGUAAUCGCAG
RNAcentral lists this ribosomal RNA (799 nucleotides) under uncultured bacterium. RNAcentral describes it as "bacterial SSU rRNA". It matches the Rfam family "Bacterial small subunit ribosomal RNA", at positions 549 to 1347 of the family's 1533-position model. The record is from RNAcentral.